Telopea speciosissima is the source of this 463-nucleotide long non-coding RNA. RefSeq lists it as uncharacterized. The transcript is spliced from 3 exons. The record is from RefSeq and is a predicted model, not a curated record. NCBI's taxonomy places the organism in Eukaryota, Viridiplantae, Streptophyta, Magnoliopsida, Proteales, Proteaceae.
UGAAAUUUUAGUAUCAGAACCUGAAAUCUCAAAACUGUUGUUUCCCUGCCUCAGAAACCCUACAGUAGUUUCUCUGGAGUUAUGAACGUGAGUGUUACCAGACAUGCCUUCAUCUCCUAAGUUCUUCUACCCUCGCCAGCCAUGGCUCUCUUACAAUCGGAAACCAUCUCUUCUAAUAUGUUGUCUUCUUAUUGGGAUUACUGGAUUUUCUUUCGGAUUGGUUGCCAUUUUGAGGCCGAGCUCUGGGCAUAAAUGUAGGAAUGCUGAAUCUAGAUCUGUUUCGAUUGUUUGGGAGAGGAGUAGCAGCAGUGGUGGUGUUGGGGUUCGGAAUCGUGUUGGUUCUGAUGGAGAUCAGGAGAGGUAUAAGGUGAUGGGGUUGUUGGUAUUCAGACCGGUUUUGGAUCUGUUGGAAGGCAUAAGUCGUUGAGGAAAACUUGGAUGCCUUCUGAUCACCAAGGCCUUC